GAUGAAGAACGCAGCGAAAUGCGAUACUUGGUGUGAAUUGCAGAAUCCCGUGAACCAUCGAGUCUUUGAACGCAAGUUGCGCCCGAAGCCGUCAGGCCGAGGGCACGCCUGCCUGGGCGUCACACGCCGUUGCCCCCCCGCGCCCCGCACCCAACUCUUUGGGAGCGACCGCGGGGCGGGCUGAUGAUGGCCUCCCGUGCGCUCCGCCGCGCGGUUGGCCCAAAUACCGAGUCCCCGGCGCCAUGCGCCACGACGAUCGGUGGUUGAGAGACCUCUGUCGCAAGUCGUGCGCGCCCGUCGCGUCACGCGGGCUCGCAUAGCGCCUCGCGCCGCACCCGGUGCGGAGCUUUCAACGCGACCCCAGGUCAGGCGGGGUUACCCGCUGAAUUUAAGCAUAUCAAUAAGCGGAGGA
This 412-nucleotide unclassified non-coding RNA is filed under the name soil metagenome. RNAcentral describes it as "partial contains 5.8S ribosomal RNA, internal transcribed spacer 2, and large subunit ribosomal RNA". The stretch from base 1 to 122 matches the Rfam family "5.8S ribosomal RNA", at positions 35 to 154 of the family's 154-position model. The record is from RNAcentral.